This 284-nucleotide long non-coding RNA is filed under the name Lathyrus oleraceus (garden pea). RNAcentral describes it as "Pisum sativum (pea) long non-coding RNA (PSAT_LNC030299)". The record is from RNAcentral. Lineage: Eukaryota; Viridiplantae; Streptophyta; Magnoliopsida; Fabales; Fabaceae.
UUUUUUCUUCCUCUUCAUCAUCUUUUUUUUUAUUUUUCCGUUUGUCACGAUCUGUUUAUGUCCAUGUUUGAUAUUUUAUGGUUUUAAAAUUUUUAAGGUUUUGAAUCUCUCUCUCUCUUCUUCUUCCUGCUUCGACUCAUUCAUUUUUCAUCAUCGUCUCAUUCAGCUAUCAUAUGUUGUUUAUAUAUUUUUUCUGAGUUUGUUGUUAUGAUUUGUUCCAAAGCUUAUGUUUUAAUGUAUUUUUGUUUGUGUUUACAAACAUUUAUCUCUUCAUCAUCUUUUUG